Molecule: RNA transcript, 1583 nt
Organism: Oncorhynchus tshawytscha (Chinook salmon)
Lineage: Eukaryota; Metazoa; Chordata; Actinopteri; Salmoniformes; Salmonidae
Gene name: putative transmembrane protein ZNF593OS
Exons: 3
Source: RefSeq, a predicted model, not a curated record
AGAUGUAUACCUCACAUGUUUCUACCUUCCCUGCACACUGCCAGCUUUUCCCCUGGCCUCCCCAGUGAAAUUGUUGUUAUUGAUGCGAUGUUCACGGAUUGGUGAACUUCGACAUAGGACCCAUGUUAUUGGUCAUGGAGAGAUGCAUUUUAGAUGAUGGCAUAACGAGUUAAUUAGGAUCUAUUUAGUGUUGGCCCCCCCCCCCCCAAUGUUUUUCGGGUCAAGUUCACGGCUUCGUGAAUAGCAGCAUUGCUGCCCUCGUCAGAUCUAGUUCAGAUGUGCUGAUUUGAGAUCAUUAUUAAAACAUUUUUAAAGGUUCUGAGAAACGGUGUCAGGUCCAAAACCAGACCAGAUUUUAGUCCUGACGACGGUACUUUUUUCUGGAUGGGUUUGUCUGUAAUGAGACUAGACUGCACUGGACCGGAUCAGGGAGACUGGGUUUGUUCUUAGUCUUCGCCUCAGGCAAGAACUGUUCCCUUUCUCGAAGCCGUUCAAAUGGUUUGAGUUUAUUUGCAAGCAUAGAGAACGGCCUCGUUUCUCAUUAUGCCAGUCUGUCGCCGGUAUCAAACUUGAAGAGCGGCUUUGGUUUAAUUUGUCUCCAGACCAGAGCUGCAUCAACACACUGCACAAAGAAACCAACCCCAGACCCACUACAGACAUGAUCAUCAGACUGGGCAGACUGACCCCUGGAUACUUCCGCCUCCUACAGAGACAGGUGGCGGGUGAGGUGCAGACCCAGCCACAGGACCGCGUGGUCAACCAGAUAGCCAUGAUGCUGGCCAUCAUGGGCCUAAGCCUGUCCUACUACAGUGCCAAACGGAUGACUGAGAAGGUCCAGAGGCUCCAGAAGAGAAGAGAUCCCCAUACACCCUGAACCUGGAGAGAAGACGAACCAACGCAGAGAUGUUGUGGAGAGGAGACAUGGAGAUGUCGGUGUCCAGAACAACACCUUUUCACAACCAAUCAGUCAUAGUCACGUCGUUCACACACUGGAGUUUUACUGGGAUCACUCUCAAUGCGAGGAGAGUUCGGGGGCUGCUGCUUUUAAGGGUAUCUUGUUCAUUUUUCACACCAAUUUGGGGUGUGUGUGUGUGUGUGUGUGUGAAGAAAGGCCCACGGUGGGGUUCGUGUGGUCCUGAUAAGGUCUGGGGGGUAAAAGUACUACCAGCUGUCUAUGGUAAGGCUGGGCCUGAGCUUUAGUUGUUGCCAAGGUACAUGCGUGCAAGAUGCCAUCAAUACUGUUCUGCGCUAAAAAGGGAUAGAAAAAUGCCAAACUAAUUAUUCUAAUGUACUGUGAAACUUGCCAGUGCUCCAAGCAUAUGACUGUGUAAAAUAACUGAACAGUAAUUAUUUUUUAAGGGAAGGCUAUCUGCAUUUGAGAUGUAUCUGGUAAUGACUGAAGGCAGGCCCAUAGUGUGAGGAGAAAGCAACCCUCUUAGGUUUUUGUCAUUUCUUAUUGUUAAAUAAAAGUGAGCCAUGUGAAGUAGAUGUGGAGGAGGAGUCUCAAACUGGUCAAUAAUUCCACACAUGUUUAAUAUCUGUUAAUGUCAGACACAAAAAAAAAACAGUGAAAGUGAAAUGCA